RNAcentral lists this ribosomal RNA (467 nucleotides) under uncultured bacterium. RNAcentral's name for it is "partial 16S ribosomal RNA". It matches the Rfam family "Bacterial small subunit ribosomal RNA", at positions 28 to 507 of the family's 1533-position model. The record is from RNAcentral.
GAUGAACGCUGGCGGCGCGCCUAACACAUGCAAGUCGAACGAUUAAAGCACCUUCGGGUGUGUAUAAAGUGGCGAACGGCUGAGUAACACGUGGGCAACCUGCCCCUCUCAUUGGGAUAGCCACGGGAAACCGUGGAUAAUACCGAAUACUUCGGGACUUCCGCAUGGAAGACUCGAGAAAGCUCCGGCGGAGAGGGAUGGGCCCGCGGCCUGUUAGCUUGUUGGUGGGGUAAUGGCCUACCAAGGCAAUGAUGGGUAGCUGGGUUGAGAGACCGACCAGCCAGAUUGGGACUGAGACACGGCCCAGACUCCUACGGGAGGCAGCAGUGGGGAAUCUUGCACAAUGGGCGAAAGCCUGAUGCAGCGACGCCGCGUGCGGGAUGAAGGCCUUCGGGUUGUAAACCGCUUUCAGCAGGGACGAGGCGAAAGUGACGGUACCCGCAGAAGAAGCCCCGGCUAACUACGUG